Long non-coding RNA from Balaenoptera musculus (blue whale), 3291 nucleotides. RefSeq lists it as uncharacterized. The record is from RefSeq and is a predicted model, not a curated record. The transcript has 4 exons. NCBI's taxonomy places the organism in Eukaryota, Metazoa, Chordata, Mammalia, Artiodactyla, Balaenopteridae.
CCUCACUCGCUCCUCUCAGAGCUCCAGGAGCGCGGGGCCGCGACUUCCGGCCUGCACGGAAGCGCGUCAGGCACCCUCCUCACUACAAUUCCCAGGAGCCUCCACGCCGCAGACUUCCGGCCCCGCCAUGUUGAGGGCUUGGGUUCGCCUGAGGCCCUUGGCAGGAUGGUGGCCGCUCGGCUAGUGGCGGGGCUCUCGCCUCUGGCCUCCACUCGCGUUCUCUCUCCCGGCCUCCCCGGCGGCGGUGGACGCGUCCUGGGGCGACGCCGGCGCAGCCUCCACACACACACCUUCCCGAGCUACAGAGCCUGUCUGGGUUUGGAUGUCAGGAACUCCGCCGAUGUUUUUGGUGCUGGGAGUCCAGUGUAUCCGCCCUCUCCCUGCUGUAGCAGCCCUUCAGGCGGACACUGGCUCUGCAGUUGUCAUAAAGCACCUACUGGGUGCUCUGCAGUACGUGAGAUGGCCACAAGCCUCUAAACCCAUGGGUAAAUGUCAUCCUAGGCACCUCAGUCCUCUAACCGUCUCAUCUCUUGGACCACUCCCCAAAACCUCGAAGGUAAUCCUCACGGCUGUCCGGUCCAGAAAAGCAUUCGCCCCACUUGACAGCUGCGGUUACCAGCUAACAAGGCUGAAACUGGAUCCCCGCCUCACUGAGGCAGGGCUGACGGAGCCACCCACUUGCCCACCUACCUGCCUGGGGCUGCAUAAAAUCAUCCCUAUCAGCUGCAGCUCCAAGUACCGGCUUUCAGCCCACCAGCUUAAUGACCCUGGGGGAACCUGGGCAAUUUAGUCCCCUCCCCCGCAACUCCCUAUCUAGCUAGGGGGCUAUUAAACAAAUUCACUGAGCCUUUGGGCAAGGGGCUUAAUUCUUCUGGGCCUCAGUUUCCCCUAAGUCCUAAGUGAUUAGGGACCUAAAGCCAAUACUGCAUGAACGACAGUAAAGGCUAAUGGGAGCUGCUGUUUUCUUCUCUCAUGUUCUCUCUGCUGCCUCCUCUCCAGGUAAGCUGUCUCCUUCAUGGUGCCCACUUCCUAGUGAACGCGGACUGAUGAACCAGAACAGCACUGCCCAGUGGAACUUUCUUUGGUGAAGGAAAUGUUCUAGAUCUGCACUGUCCAACAUAGUAGCCAUUAGCUGCAGGUGACCAGUGAACAUUUGAAAGCUGGCCAGUGCGACUAAGGAACUGACUGGACACAAGAGGCCUUCCACAAAUAUUUGUGAAGUAAAGGGGAGGCAAUGGAGGAAAAAAAUCACAUAAAGGACUCUUUGUGACACAGCAGAAACAUGUUAAGCACCUAUCACCUCAGGCCUAGCCUGCAAGUGUCCUGGUAAGCCUCCCUGCACAAGGUCUCUCGUUCUGGGGCACCACCCCUGAAUCUCCUGUCACCUGUCAAGCCAGCUCCCCUGAGAUGUGCAGAACCAUAGGCGCCCAAUGCCCCCCCGACAGCAGCUAGAUUUAGGAAACUACUAGACCAUCCAGAAUUGCAUGGCUGGGAGGUUUGCCCACAUGGGACUUAAGUUCCAGAGAGGAUGAGACACAGACCUAAGCCAGAGCCACAAAGAUGGGAGGAGACCUUAGGAGACUGGAUCAACCAGGGGAACAGAAACGAUGUUGGGUGGAUACAAAGUGCUUGUGUUGCUGGGGACCUUCCAGGUAAGGUUUGGUUUAGUGACCUGUGCUCAUGGUUAGAAGGGAGGUUUUCAUUGUAGAGAAUGAAAGGAAUGACAUGAAUAUGGAAAAGAAAAACAAAUUAUUAAUGUUGAGCCAUCAGGCUAACAAAGGAGUCCAGGAAAGGGGGACAAAGAGUCAGUGGAGGCUCUAGUCUAUGUUGUGGCAAACAGAACGUCAUCACCAAAGAUGGGGCCAGGUGCAGGCUUCACAGCUGAAGACUGCCAGGUUGCUCCGAAGCCACUUUCAUGAGAGCAGAGAACAAAGGCGGGGAGAACACCCAAAGUUCUCCUUACAAAGCCAGUACACUCGGAUACAGAAGUGUCCAAAAAUAACAAACACAAAGAAGAAAACCACCCACCUCCCCAACCUAAUUUAUGAAUAUUGAUGCAAAAACCCUAAAGAAAUAAGUUAACAGACACCAGCAACACAUUACAACAAGGGCACUUCUAUGAUUAUGUCACUGUUAAUUGUUCAAAUGAGAAAAUCCCCAUGGUCGCUUUGGAGGGGGGAAAUUGGGGCUAUUACUAAUUUUCAUUUAUUAGAAAGGGUGAGGUGACUAUUUCUUUAUCCAGAUAAAAACUGAUUUGAAUCACAGAAUCCAGCAGCAUGCUUGUCAAAACCCAGAGACUUGCCCUUUUAAGUCUAAGACCAGAUACUGAAAUCAUCACACACUCAGCCCAGUGUUUUGGAAGUACCAGAUAUGAUGAAUGCAAUUACAUGAUCGUGCAAAUGAAGUAAAAUAAUACAACUGCCUCCUCCUUUAUACUUGCCAGUAAGAUGACUUUGUACUGAGAAAAUUAGUGAGACUCUAACAAAACUGUUACAAAUAAUAAGAGAAUUUAGCAGCAUGACAGGUUCAUCUGCAACAACUACGCAAGACUGCAAGGGACGAUUAACCUGAGCAGAUUAACAGCAACUACAGUGAACUCCCAACAGCACUUGGAAGGCCUGACUAGCACAGUGAGGUGAGCAGAAAUCUCUGGACACCUGUGCCAAAACUCAACUGAGACCAGUUCUGCAUCAAGGAAUGUCUGAAUCCAAUCAAAUGUUAAGACACAUUCUAACAAGAUUUUCUCAAUGAAUCCUGACAAGCUGAUGGUGAGCGUUCAUUUGGUUGAGAACAGAUAAUAGGUGUGUUGUUUUCUUUUUUUUAAAUAAUGAGAGGAACUACCAUUUUUCCAAGUUUGUUGUAAAGUUACAGUAAGUACAGCAAUAUGGUGUUUCCUCAGACACUGACAGAGACCAAGGGAGCAUAAGGGGCCAAGAAGGCCUGCACAUGGUGAUGACUAUGGGAAUUAAGUCUAUGAUAAAGAUGGCGUUUCCAAUAAUCAGAAGAACCAAGUCAGAAAACGGUGUUGAAAAAACUUGUGCCCCACAUCAUAUACACAAGGAAACCCAGUUACAGGAAACAGCUAAAAACCCCCCACAAAAAUACCAGAAUUGACAAAAGUAUUUGUACAACCUGCCUGUGUAUGACAUGAAACCUAGAAUAGGAGUAAAGCCAGAUUUGAAAGAAAAAUAUCUGAAAUCAUAAAACUUCUUUAUGGAGACUAAAUGUAAAAGAUAAAUGUUGGACUGGUAUUUGCAGUAUUAACAUCCAUAACAUAUAGUAUAUAGAGUC